AUGGCUCGUACUAAGCAGACUGCUCGUAAGUCCACUGGAGGAAAGGCUCCUAGGAAGCAGCUAGCCACCAAGGUUUCUGCCCGUAAGUCUGCUCCCACAACUGGAGGAGUGAAGAAGCCUCACCGUUACUGCCCUGGAACUGUUGCUCUUCGUGAGAUCCGCAAGUACCAGAAGAGCACGGAGCUGCUCAUCAGGAAGCUUCCAUUCCAGAGGCUUGUUAGGGAGAUUGCCCAGGACUUCAAGACUGACCUCCGCUUCCAGAGCCAUGCGAUGCUGGCCCUUCAGGAGGCUGCAGAGGCCUACCUGGUGGGUCUCUUCGAGGAUCCGUGGCGAGAGGGCUUAAGGUGCUUGCUUUGCCUGUGGGAAUGUCUCUGUCGGGCAUCUGUGUCUGCUUUUGCUGCUGUUUUUAGUGAUUGUUUGGAACUGCUAGCUCUAAUUUAA
RNAcentral lists this ribosomal RNA (441 nucleotides) under Triticum aestivum (bread wheat). Its description in RNAcentral is "partial small subunit ribosomal RNA". The record is from RNAcentral. Lineage: Eukaryota; Viridiplantae; Streptophyta; Magnoliopsida; Poales; Poaceae.